This 1238-nucleotide long non-coding RNA is filed under the name Piliocolobus tephrosceles (Ugandan red Colobus). Its description in RNAcentral is "lncRNA (ENSPTEG00000023551.1)". The record is from RNAcentral. Lineage: Eukaryota; Metazoa; Chordata; Mammalia; Primates; Cercopithecidae.
AAAUACAUGCGUAUAUGUAUUUUUUUUUAUAUUUAAUUUUUGAAAAUACAACUAAUUUUUUUUUUUUUUUUUUGCAAAAAAAGUUUUUAAAACACGUUUUUUUGAAUUAUUUAUUGGUAUAUAUAUAUAUAUAUAUAUAUGUAUAUAUGUAUAUAUGUAUAUUUAUACAUGUGUAUGAAAAUGUGAAUGUUAAUAGGAGAAUAGCAUAUACAUGCUGAGGAAAAACACAAAAUUAUUAAUCUAAUUCAAUUUAUUUUUAAUAGUAAAAAAAAAUAAAUAAAAAAAAAAUAAAAUAAAAACAUAUAAUUGGCACAUAUAACCUUUCGUAUAAAUUUUCAUAUUUUAAUAUAAAAAAUUUUAAAGAUAGUUUCACUUAUAAGUUUAAGAGUAUCAUAUAAAUAAAAGUAAUAAAUAUUUUCAACGAUCUAAUUAAAUUUUUUAAGUCUUUUUUAUAUAAAAAUAAGACUAAAAAAAAAAAAAAAGACUAAAAAAAAAAAAAUAAGACUAAAAAAAAAAAAAAAAAAAAAUGAUUUUAUUACAACUAACAGUGCUUGGUUAUCUAAACACAGGAAAAACAUCUUUAAUCAAUUCCAUUAUGAAUAAUAACGUUGUUACAAAUUACAUUCAUACGGAUAUGCCUACGAUUUACUAUAAAGUACACCGAGAUGAAAUGAGAAGCUUUUGUGUUGAAAUAGAAGAUACAUCUGUUGAUAUAGAUAUAAAUAUAUUUAUGGACAUGAUAAGAAAAGAAUUGACAAUUGAUAAAAAUAGUAUAAAAAAUCCAGUUUUUAGUAUUUUUGAAAAACCUUCAAUUCCGUUUACUCCAGAUAAUAAAUACAACUCAAUUAGCUACGGACGAAUGGCAUAUUUUUUAGUAUUCGAUCUUACAAAUGAAGAAACAUUUGAAUAUGUUAAGACAAUUUAUUUAAACAUGUCAAAUAUUUAUGAUAAAUAUUAUUCUCUAAAGCCGUUUAUAUCUCUUGUUGGAAAUAAAUCAGAUUUGGUAAAAGAAGAUUGUGAAUUAGUUAGGCAAGCAGAACACUUCGCGACCGAACACUUGGUACAAUUAUGGCUCGUAUCAUCGCUUACAGGGAAAAAUGUUAAGAAGUUAUUCUUACAUAUGGUUAACAUGGUUUUCAAUAACACGAAUUUGUGGAAAUACGAUAUGGAAGAUUCUGGAUCCGAAUCUUCAGAAAAUUAAAAUUAAAAAAAAAUAAAAUAAAAUAAAAACCUAAGCA